GAUGAAGAACGCAGCGAAAUGCGAUAAGCAAUGUGAAUUGCAGAAUUCAGUGAAUCAUCGAAUCUUUGAACGCACAUUGCGCCCCUUGGUAUUCCGAGGGGCAUGCCUGUUCGAGCGUCAUUAUAACCCCUCAAGCUCAGCUUGGUAUUGGGGCCUGCCAUCCUGGCAGCCCUUAAAAUCAGUGGCGGUGCCAUCCGGCUCUAAGCGUAGUAACUCUUCUCGCUAUGGAGUCCUGGUGGAUGCUUGCCAUUAAUCUUUUAACUUCUAUGGUUGACCUCGGAUCAGGUAGGGAUACCCGCUGAACUUAAGCAUAUCAAUAAGCGGAGGA
RNAcentral lists this unclassified non-coding RNA (328 nucleotides) under soil metagenome. Its description in RNAcentral is "partial contains 5.8S ribosomal RNA, internal transcribed spacer 2, and large subunit ribosomal RNA". The stretch from base 1 to 120 matches the Rfam family "5.8S ribosomal RNA", at positions 35 to 154 of the family's 154-position model. The record is from RNAcentral.